GCAUGCGUGCCAUUAGCUGGUUGCGGGGUGACGGCCCACCAAGGCUACGAUGGCUAGGGGAUCUGAGAGGACGGUCCCCACACUGGUACUGAGACACGGACCAGACUCCUACGGGAGGCAGCAGUAAGGAAUAUUGGGCAAUGGGGGAACCCUGACCCAGCCAUGCCGCGUGAGGGAAGAAGGCCCUACGGGUUGUAAACCUCUUUUGCCGGGGGGAUAAAGCGGGGCGUGCGCGCCGCGUUGCAGUUACCCGGUGAAUAAGCAUCGGUCUAACUCCGUGCC
RNAcentral lists this ribosomal RNA (282 nucleotides) under uncultured bacterium. RNAcentral's name for it is "partial 16S ribosomal RNA". It matches the Rfam family "Bacterial small subunit ribosomal RNA", at positions 229 to 509 of the family's 1533-position model. The record is from RNAcentral.